UAAGCGGAGGAAAAGAAACCAACAGGGAUUGCCCUAGUAACGGCGAGUGAAGCGGCAACAGCUCAAAUUUGAAAUCUGGUGUCUUUGGCGUCCGAGUUGUAAUUUGCAGAGGGCGCUUUGGCAUUGGCAGCGGUCCAAGUUCCUUGGAACAGGACGUCACAGAGGGUGAGAAUCCCGUACGUGGUCGCUAGCCUUUACCGUGUAAAGCCCCUUCGACGAGUCGAGUUGUUUGGGAAUGCAGCUCUAAAUGGGAGGUAAAUUUCUUCUAAAGCUAAAUACUGGCCAGAGACCGAUAGCGCACAAGUAGAGUGAUCGAAAGAUGAAAAGCACUUUGGAAAGAGAGUUAAAAAGCACGUGAAAUUGUUGAAAGGGAAGCGCUUGCAGCCAGACUUGCCUGUAGUUGCUCAUCCGGGUUUCUACCCGGUGCACUCUUCUAUAGGCAGGCCAGCAUCAGUUUGGGCGGUUGGAUAAAGGUCUCUGUCAUGUACCUCUCUUCGGGGAGAACUUAUAGGGGAGACGACAUGCAACCAGCCUGGACUGAGGUCCGC
This 548-nucleotide ribosomal RNA is filed under the name Phoma sp. E8. RNAcentral describes it as "eukaryotic LSU rRNA". It matches the Rfam family "Eukaryotic large subunit ribosomal RNA", at positions 47 to 605 of the family's 3401-position model. The record is from RNAcentral. Lineage: Eukaryota; Fungi; Ascomycota; Dothideomycetes; Pleosporales; Didymellaceae.